This is a long non-coding RNA of Oryzias melastigma (Indian medaka), 774 nucleotides long. RefSeq lists it as uncharacterized. The transcript is spliced from 3 exons. Lineage: Eukaryota; Metazoa; Chordata; Actinopteri; Beloniformes; Adrianichthyidae. The record is from RefSeq and is a predicted model, not a curated record.
GUGCAACAGUUUGAUGAUUUAAAUACAAAAGCAGAGAUUUUAUCAGAGGUGGAGGGAAAUAGUGGAAGAGGGAAAUAGUGGAAGACGGAAACCUUACAAGUGAUCAGAAAUAUUUAACUGCUCACCAAAGCAGUAAAGCUGCGACUGAACAAAAAAACUCCGGAAAAACCUGAUUCAGGAAAAGAAGAAGAAGAAACCUUACAGAUGUCGACGUGAAGGACAGAUCCUCUCUCAGGACAGACAGAGUUCCGCUGGAUAAGACUGGGGGACACGCUGAAGUCCACAGCCAAGACGAGCCAGAGGCACGGUCCACGAACAAGAACAGGGUGAUCCACCUGUAAUCUGGAAUCUGAAAAUUUGACGGUUUCUCUCUCUGAUGUCAUCAUCUUUUUCUUUUUUUUAGGAAGGGGGGGGGGGGGUAUUCCCUGUACCCAAAGUUCAUUUCCAUCAUUUUUUGAGGAUGUGGCGGGGUUACAUUUUUACUCAAACUCACAAAACAAACCAAAGGAAUGGAGAAGGAAGAAGAACUGAGAGAAAAAUCUGGUCCUGGACGGCAGAAUUUAAGACCACUGGGAUCGCAAAAGAUAACCAGAGCGGAGUUUUAAAAUGUAAGUACUUGUAAAUAAAUGUACUGUCUGUAAUCCCCUGUCAGUCAGUGGCUCUAACUGCAGAAGAAUCUGUCCAUAAAAGAGCCACACAGCAUCCUGAACAGGAAGUCAGCCGUCGGCGUGUUCACUAAUGAUCUCUCCUGCAAAAGCAGCUUCACCUCUGAGU